RNAcentral lists this ribosomal RNA (446 nucleotides) under uncultured bacterium. Its description in RNAcentral is "partial 16S ribosomal RNA". It matches the Rfam family "Bacterial small subunit ribosomal RNA", at positions 338 to 795 of the family's 1533-position model. The record is from RNAcentral.
CCUACGGGGGACUGCAGUCGAGAAUCAUUCACAAUGGGGGAAACCCUGAUGGUGCGACGCCGCGUGGGGGAAUGAAGGUCUUCGGAUUGUAAACUCCUGUCAUGUGGGAGCAAAUUAAAAAGAUAGUACCACAAGAGGAAGAGACGGCUAACUCUGUGCCAGCAGCCGCGGUAAUACAGAGGUCUCAAGCGUUGUUCGGAAUCACUGGGCGUAAGGCGUGCGUAGGCUGUUUCGUAAGUCGUGUGUGAAAGGCGCGGGCUCAACCCGCGGACGGCACAUGAUACUGGGAGACUAGAGUAAUGGAGGGGGAAGCGGAAUUCUAGGUGUAGCAGUGAAAUGCGUAGAUAUCGAGAGGAACACUCGUGGCGAAGGCGAGUUCCUGGACAUUAACUGACGCUGAGGCACGAAGGCCAGGGGAGCGAAAGGGAUUAGAUACCCGUGUAGUC